This 301-nucleotide ribosomal RNA is filed under the name uncultured bacterium. RNAcentral describes it as "partial 16S ribosomal RNA". It matches the Rfam family "Bacterial small subunit ribosomal RNA", at positions 509 to 807 of the family's 1533-position model. The record is from RNAcentral.
CAGUCGCCGCGGGAAUACGGAGGGUGCAAGCGUUAAUCGGAAUUACUGGGCGUAAAGCGCACGCAGGCGGUUUGUUAAGUCAGAUGUGAAAUCCCCGAGCUUAACUUGGGAACUGCAUUUGAAACUGGCAGGCUAGAGUCUUGUAGAGGGGGGUAGAAUUCCAGGUGUAGCGGUGAAAUGCGUAGAGAUCUGGAGGAAUACCGGUGGCGAAGGCGGCCCCCUGGACAAAGACUGACGCUCAGGUGCGAGAGCGUGGGGAGCAAACAGGAUUAGAUACCCCGGUAGUCCCUGUCUCUUAUAC